AGCAGCCGCGGUAAUUCCAGCUCCAAUAGCGUAUAUUAAAGUUGUUGCAGUUAAAAAGCUCGUAGUUGAAUUUCGGGGUCAGUAGGUUGGUCGUGCCACCGGUACGUACUGGUCUCACUGAUUCCUCCUUCCUGAAGAACCGUAAUGCCAUUAAUUUGGUGUUGCGGGGAAACAGGACUGUUACUUUGAAAAAAUUAGAGUGUUUAAAGCAGGCUAACGCUUGAAUACAUUAGCAUGGAAUAAUGAAAUAGGACGAUCGAUCCUAUUUUGUUGGUUUCUAGGAUUGACGUAAUGAUUAAUAGGGAUAGUUGGGGGCAUUAGUAUUCAAUUGUCAGAGGUGAAAUUCUUGGAUUUAUUGAAGACUAACUACUGCGAAAGCAUUUGCCAAGGAUGUUUUCAUUAAUCAAGAACGAAAGUUAGGGGAUCGAAGACGAUCAGAUACCGUCGUAGUCUUAACCAUAAACUAUGCCGACUAGGGAUCGGAUGAUGUUAAUUUUAUAAUGACUCAUUCGGCGCCUUA
This 520-nucleotide ribosomal RNA is filed under the name uncultured Glomus. RNAcentral's name for it is "SSU rRNA". It matches the Rfam family "Eukaryotic small subunit ribosomal RNA", at positions 569 to 1090 of the family's 1831-position model. The record is from RNAcentral. Lineage: Eukaryota; Fungi; Glomeromycota; Glomeromycetes; Glomerales; Glomeraceae.